AUGGUUCCAAUCGUUUUUUCCCCCAUUCACUUUACCGUCAGGGAUUUUAGAACUACUUCAUAUAAGGUUUGACUUUCGUGUARGCUUACCCCGGCGUGAUGUUUUGAUAACAGCGCAAAUCUCUCUCGGAUAAGGUACUGACAGGAGGCAAGACGAGAACGCUGAUCCAGUGCACUCAGGAUCCCAGACCCUGUGACUUAAAGCCCUGACCACUGCACAUCCUUCCCUGUAGCCAUUUUUAAUGCCUUGAUGUCCUUAUUGUUAUCUGUGCCCCACUUUACAGACAACACUCCAUCCAACGACUGUAAACACCUUGAAAUGCAUUCAUUCUAAGAAAUGUGCUAUAUAAAUAAAGUUUGAUUUGAUUGAUGACAUUACAGCUAUAGAAUAUUUAAUAAACUGUCAUUUUCACAUGAGGAUAAGUGCAGUUUUUCCAUAAACUUGUAAUUGAUAACUUGGGAAUGCAUGUAGCACAUUGAAUAAAUACUGUGCCUUUGAA
Molecule: long non-coding RNA, 499 nt
Organism: Salvelinus sp. IW2-2015
Lineage: Eukaryota; Metazoa; Chordata; Actinopteri; Salmoniformes; Salmonidae
Source: RefSeq, a predicted model, not a curated record